Long non-coding RNA from Astatotilapia calliptera (eastern happy), 2048 nucleotides. The record is from Ensembl. NCBI's taxonomy places the organism in Eukaryota, Metazoa, Chordata, Actinopteri, Cichliformes, Cichlidae.
UUCAGCCUGUUGUUUAGAUAUUUUUAUUUCAGAAAUGAUUCCUAACAAAAAUGGAGAAUAUAAAAACACAAUCAAAGCAGUAAAGUCCAUAUUAUGAAGUGUUUGCUGUAUCAGACAAUCAUGUUUCCAGUCUGCUGCAUCACAACAAUUGAAAUGCAAAUAUAAAUGAUUCACAACAAUGAAAACAAUAUAGUGCAGAUACACAUGGUGCUGUAAUGAAUCUGCUCUUAAACACAAUAACAAAAUACAUUUUCCAAGAGAGAUGAUAAUGAUUCACAUCAGAGUGAAGAACGAAUACAUUUACAACUGGUUUCUAACAUUUCUUAUAGAUCGAACUGAUCACUGAUAGAAACAGAAGAAUAUUCAAAAUGAUACUCUGAGAGAUACAUGAAUGAGAUAUGGAUAAAAUUAAAUCACAUAAAACAAAAAAGCACAUAAUCAUUAUAACUGGGGCCACCGUGGCUCAGGGGGUUGGGAAGCGUAUCUUGUCUGGGCAAGACACUUUACCCUACCGCCUACUGCUGUUAGCCAGAGGGGGCCGAUGGCGCAUUCCACCAGUGUGUGAAUGCGAGAGUGAAUGAAUUGUGGCAUUGUAAAGCGCUAUAUAAAUCCAAUCCAUUAUGAAAUAAAAUAUGAGCAGAAAUAUAGAAGAAUUAAGUGUGUGUCUGAGCUGAAAGCUGCUCUCCUCUCCUGGUUUUCUGUAUCACACAGACCACAACAACACAAAGCAUCACCUGCAGACCGCUGAGCAGUAUCCACCUGACUCUGUAGAAGGUCGAUUAAACCCCAAAGGGCUCUCUGUGGAUCAGAACAAAUGCUUCUGCUGACACACACUCAUUCUCUGACUUAUAACCUGCACACACAUACUCUCCUGCAUCUUCCAGUGAGACAUUAGAGAUUAUCAGGCUGUCACGGGAACAAGUGAUUCUUUUGUCACUGCAGAACUUAUCAUCGUACACAAUUUUGCCUUCUGUUUGGAUCGACUUCAUGAACAUAAAGUCCGAAGUACUAGUUUUCCAAUCAUCAGAGCAUCUCAUAGUGACUUCAUCUCCCUCUGAGAAAACCUUUACUGCAGGUGGACCAAAUUUAGGGCACACGAAAAGCCAGUACUGAUGUAUUACUUUUUCACCUUCACAGUAGUAGAUACCUGAAUCAUUUAACGUUAAUGAUGGAAGUACCAGCGAGAAGUUUCGACCAAUUUCUUGAUCAGCAUCGUAGGAAAUUUCCUUCAUCCAAACUGGGGGCUGGUCAUGAAUGGGGUCCAUGAAGGGACACUCCAGCACAGCUGUGUCUCCCUCUGAAGCAUAACGUAGCUUUGUUUGUUUGGUCAAACGUACAGAGUAAGUGCUCACACACUGCUGUUGGUUCAUCACCAGGCAGAUGUAAGACGUUGGUCGUGUGUUGACAUGAAGAAGUGAUGCGUUUGUCACCUGCAGGAAACUUUCUUGGACUUUAUUCACCUUCAAAAUUGUUCUGUCUUCGAAACUACUCAGCCCGGCUUGUUGCCACUCCCCGUAAUGUCUGAUCCAACGCACCGUCAGAUUCUCACCUGCUCCUUUACAUCGCACGUCUUCAGUGGCAUCAGGACUUAUGAUAGAUUCUUCCCACCUUACUGUCUUGCACACAGUCAGGCUGAUGUUUCUCUCAUAUGUCACGCUGCCCUGAGUCCAGCACACAUCUUGGUACAGUCCAGAGUCUGAGUGGGCCAGGUUGUUGAGAGUAAAUGAAGGAGAACCAUGAAAUGUCUCAGGAAAUGAGAGUCGUCCUGUCAGGUCUUCAUGUACUGUGAAUUUUCUGUUCCGGGGGUCAGAGAUGUUCCACAGGACCAGAGUAUCUUCACCAACACGUCUGGAGGUGAUGCAGGAGCUGUUUCGAUCUGGGAGCUUGAACUGUAAAGAGUCUCCUUCUUUUCUUAUGGCGAUAAAUUCUUCUGCAUGAAUGUUGCUGAUGAGAGUGAACAGCAGGGAGAAGCAGAGCUGUGCGACUGCAGCCAUCCUGCUCAGAGGUCUCCUGGUGAGUGUCGUACAAGCACUGACACUGCUCGCUUC